Molecule: ribosomal RNA, 490 nt
Filed under: uncultured bacterium
Lineage: Bacteria
Description: partial 16S ribosomal RNA
Rfam family: Bacterial small subunit ribosomal RNA
Source: RNAcentral
AUUGAACGCUGGCGGCAUGCUUUACACAUGCAAGUCGGACGGCAGCACAGAGAAGCUUGCUUCUUGGGUGGUGAGUGGCGAACGGGUGAGUAAUAUAUCGGAACGUACCGAGUAAUGGGGGAUAACUAAUCGAAAGAUUAGCUAAUACCGCAUAUUCUCUGAGGAGGAAAGCAGGGGACCUUCGGGCCUUGCGUUAUUCGAGCGGCCGAUAUCUGAUUAGCUAGUUGGUGGGGUAAAGGCCUACCAAGGCGACGAUCAGUAGCGGGUCUGAGAGGAUGAUCCGCCACACUGGGACUGAGACACGGCCCAGACUCCUACGGGAGGCAGCAGUGGGGAAUUUUGGACAAUGGGCGCAAGCCUGAUCCAGCCAUGCCGCGUGUCUGAAGAAGGCCUUCGGGUUGUAAAGGACUUUUGUCAGGGAAGAAAAGGCUGUUGCUAAUAUCGACAGCUGAUGACGGUACCUGAAGAAUAAGCACCGGCUAACUACGUG